Molecule: long non-coding RNA, 2190 nt
Organism: Equus asinus (donkey)
Lineage: Eukaryota; Metazoa; Chordata; Mammalia; Perissodactyla; Equidae
Source: Ensembl
AGGUUCCACACAGCUAGAAAUGGUUAAAGGCUCUCCAAUGGCCUCUCAAUUGAUUAGUUUCCUUCAGCCUAAUUUGCAGCCAUCUUAGCCAAGCCUUCAUAUUUCUUCCCUUUUCAACCUGGUCCCUCAUUUUCCAACUGGAGAAGUCUCUUCUCAAUCGCCUAGGCAACGGAGACAAGAGCUAGGACGCUGUCGCACGGCCUAGCUUCUGUCAGAGAAGUGGAAGAGCUUUCUUGUAUGCCUUACUAUGAAGAAAUGGCGAAUGGGAGAAAGUAGGUGAUAACUGCACAACUACGUAGUGACAGAUUUGGGACUGAAGCCAAGUUUCCUGCUUCAUUAUUCCAGUGUGCUUUCUUCUGCAUUGAGACCAACCACAGAACCUAGAAGAGUAGAACGGAAAUUUCUCCUCCCCUGCAGUAUUGUUGGGCCUGUUGACCUCACUGUCACAACCUCAUCGAGUAUGACAUUCAAAAGAGCGAAGUUAACAUCUGCUAAAGAGUGGAGAUUCCAGAGAAAAAGUAAGAGAGGUUGAGUCUGCGCCAGCGACAUGAAGGAAAUAAGCUGCCUGGGAACCAAGAACAGAGGAUGGAAGGGUGGCUGCAACAUGAGCUACUCUUGUUGAAGACUAUACCCAAACUCUUCACAGAACCUCAGGACUUAGAGGAACACAACACAAAAAAAUCACCAACACAAGAUACAUCAGAAAGGAUUUCGCAAGACAAAACACAACUGACUACAAUAACUAGAACAGAUGAAGUGCUCUGAGAUUAGAGAAAUGAAAGCCCACAGGAUGCUGGAGUCCUCUGCGAAGUCUACAAUGGACACACGGGAGUCCUACCAGUCCAGAACCACUUUAAAUGAAGUUCAAGAGUUGAGUUUUCUUGGACCAACAGAUGAUGGAAUGUUGGGCUGCGUUUUCAUGAGAGGACUUCUUUACUUCCAGCUUACUUUAUGGCUCGCUGAUUCUCAAAUGUUGGUGGGUACCAGAACACCUGGAGAACUCAGACAGCACACAGAGAGCAGGCUCGUUGAAAGGGUUAUACCAAGUUCCCAGAGUUUUAUUCCAUUGUAUGGAUAUACCACCAUUUGUUUAUCUAUUCACCUCUGUAUGGACAUUUGGAGAAUUUCCAGUUUUUGGCUAUUACAAAUAAAGUUGCCGUGAACAUUCACAUGCAAGUCUUUGUAUGGAAACCUACUUUCUUUUCUCUGGAGUAAAUACCUAGAAUUGGGACAACUGGAUCAUAUGACUGCCCUGAGCUAACAUCCACGCCCAUCUCCCUCUGCUUUGUAUGUGGGCCACCUACCACAGCAUGGCGUGCCAAGCAGGGCCGUGUCCGCACCUAGGAUCCAAACCAGCGAAUCCCAGGCCACUGAAGCGGAACAUGUGAACUUAACCACUGUGCCACUGGCCGGUCCCAAAAAUAUCUUAAUAGAAGGUGACCUGACAAGCUGCCAGCUUUCAGUGGUGCCAGGAGCAAAAGAAGAUUCUCCAUUAGCCAGACUCCAAUACACAUGGCUCCACAACUAGGUCCUUAUGACUCAGCAGAUACAAUGGCACCCAAGGUCUCUGCUAAUCAGGAUGCUAUAUGGACUGUAGCAAGCCCCACAAGACAGUCAAUGUUCCUUGCAAUUCUUAAGCAAAGCCAACCUCUUUAUGAGCUUCUAAUUCCAUGGUAGACAAUUUACUCAAUACACCAGUGGAACGCCAAUGAGCAGAUUAUCAGGAUAACAUGAAACCCAGCAGUUCUAGAACAAUAUGUUCUACUGAAGUGCUGAAAGCUACUCAUCCUAUGGUACAGACGGAAAACCAUAAAGAACCACAAACGUGAGUUGGUGAAAUGACGAAGAUUCGCGCUAUGUGAAGACACUGAUUUUUAUACUGGGGCAACAUCUGGAGCAGCUAGUGGUGAUCAGGUUGCUCUUAGUCAACCGUGUGACACUCCAAAGAGAUUCAUGCAUAGGACAGCUGAGCAAAAGUAAGGGGUAGUGGUUGAAAUUUUUUAUUCAAAUAUUUGCGUAUUAAAUUAAUGAAAUAUUUUGAAAUAACAAGAAUUUUUCAGUUCAUGAGACUGACUAAAUGGGAAGGCAUUAUUUUAGAAACAUUUUAAAAUACAGCCCCAUUAAGUCAUUCUUUCUUUUUAAAGAUUGGUACCUGAGCCAACAUCUGUUGCCAAUCUUCUCUUUUUUUUU